AUCCUCACCACUUGGUGGCUUUGGAAGCAGCGGAAUGCAUGCAUCUUUGAUGGCGAUCGACCUUCCCGUCUCUCCAACGUCAUCAAAGACGAGGCGCGCCUUUGGGCAAAGGCCGGCGCAACCGAGAUAAAAAACAUCAUCCCAGAGACUUAG
This 153-nucleotide ribosomal RNA is filed under the name Triticum aestivum (bread wheat). RNAcentral describes it as "partial small subunit ribosomal RNA". Lineage: Eukaryota; Viridiplantae; Streptophyta; Magnoliopsida; Poales; Poaceae. The record is from RNAcentral.